Molecule: long non-coding RNA, 2296 nt
Organism: Mya arenaria
Lineage: Eukaryota; Metazoa; Mollusca; Bivalvia; Myida; Myidae
Exons: 3
Source: RefSeq, a predicted model, not a curated record
AAUAUCAAAUAAAGUCCCGAGUAUAUAUUUACCCCAUGGGUACAUUUGUGUAUAUAUGCAAUUCUCGUCGUAUAAAUGAAGGAUAUGUAAUUUACUCAACAAAAUUAGUUUUUUUUAUUUACAAUUCGGAUAUAUUAAAUGAUAUUCACGCUUUAUAGCACAAACGUUAUAUGUUUUAGAAUUUCAUUUAUUCUAAAUAUUUCGCGUCAUCACAGACAAACUAUAUAAAGCAGUUCAUAUUGGAUGACAAAUAAAAUAUGACUCAUUUGGAAAACUAAACACAAAAAAUCAAGGGUGACAAUGAUGACAUAUCUGCACAAAAUGAUAGAGAUGUAUGUACUGUAACUAGGAAACGGAACAGAAGAUAUCAGUGUAAACAUCAUCAUUCCAAUUGACGAGUCAAACAGAAAACAUUCCUUUGCGUCCUAAAGCACACGUCAAUCUGAUAGUGCAAACAGUGCGAGGAUAUUCAACAGUGCACAAUGCUUUUUUUACGGAACAUAUUAGUUUUCGGCGGUUUGUCCCUGACAAUGAAGCUAUCAACAGUAAAGUCGGAAUCAACUUCGCCACAAACAUCAGUAAAACAAACUGUAGUUUCGCAUGCCACAAUGGUUACAUCAAAUGUAUCUUCGCCAUCCACAAGAGUAACACAUGAAGUAGCUUUGCCUAACACAACGAUUACUCCAAAAAUAAAGGUCUCAAUUGCAACAGUCACACAAGCAGUACCUUUGACAAACACAACCGUUACAACAGCAUUGACGACGCCGGUUGAAACAGCGAAACCGGUAGUUACUUCGCUUGCCACAACGGUAACUCCAAGAAUAACGUCUUCAAUUGCAACAGUAACACAAACAGUACCUUUGACAAACACAACCGUUACCACAACAGUAACGACGCCUAUGGAAUCGGUAGGAACUUCGACAAACACAACGGUCACUCCAAAAAGAACAACAACCAUGCAUAACCUUCAUAGCAGAUCAGGAGCAAAGGAAAUCGGACUGACGCUAAUGGGAGCUUGUAUGUGUCUGAUACGUUUAAGGAUGGGACUAUAUGAAACCUUAGCGUGUCUUCUGCAGUGAUAGACGACAAGUGUUCCAAAAGGAUCGAUUAUCAAGGCAUAUAUAAAUAUAGUACUGUCUGAAGUUUAAUGUCUAAUUAAAGAUUUCUCAUCAAAUCGAUGCAGAUUAGUUUGAUGCUUAUUUUUCAUCAUAAAAUAUUGCAAGUUUUGAAGUAACGUAAAUUACGGUUUAGUGAGCCAUGAAACAUCUUUUUUAGCUGAAAAACUAUUGGUGUGUUUAAUUACGUGAUAAAUUUUUGAAUUAAAACCGUUUUCUAGACCUUUUUUCAAUAAAACGGAAGUAUUUUACAAGAGAAAGCUUUGUUCGAAAGAUGAAAAUUAUUUGGUAACAAACAUUAAAAUGCUGUAGUUUCCGAACAUCCCAACGGCCAAGGCGUAAACAUGUCUUAAAAUGUUUGUAAGAUGAUACACUCAUAAAAUCAUGGUAUAAAAAAUUCCCGUAGUGGGGGGGAGACCUUUAAUCCCUCAUAGUCUAUACGUUAAUGCUAAUAGUGUUCCUGUUAUAGAAAGAAAGAAAUGGUAUAAAAAAUAAUUUCUGACUUAAAAGCGUACUAAAUUCUAAAAUAGCACAUCAUCAAGGUAAACAACCAACAUUAAGGCUCCAUUCAGAAUAUAUUUUUAUUCAUUCUUCAAUGUAGUAAUAAAUGCAUAAGUUACUGUUUAGUAAAUAAUCAGGAGGAUUUUCCGGAAAUAGCAAAUUAAAUGUAACAGUGACAGCAGGUGCAGUAGAACUAGUUUUUUUUUCUAUUUGAAGCAUUAUUAGUCAUUAUAAUUAUUAUUAUCAUUAUUAUUAUUAUUAUUAUUAUUAUUAUUAUUAUUAUUAUUAUUUUUAUUAUUAUUAUUAUUAUUAUUAUUAGUAUUAUUAUAAGUUUUAUUAUUAUUAUUACUACUACUAUUCUUCUUCUUCUUCUUCUUCUUCUUCUUCUUCUUCUUCUUCUUCUUCUUCUUCUUCUUCUUCUUCUUCUUCUCCUUCUUCUUAUUAUGAUUAUUAUUAUUAUCAUUAUUUUUAUUAUAUCAUUAUCAUCAUUAUAAUUAUUAUUAUUAUUAUUAUCAUUAUUAUUAUUAUUAUUAUUAUUAUUAUUAUUAUUAUUAUAUUAUUAUUAUUAUUAUUAUUAUUAUUAUUAUUAUUUGCUGCAUUCGUUUUUUUUCAUUUAUUGCUUUAAUAACAAUAAAAAACCUUUUUUGAAUGAAACCAAAGUGUAUUUAUUAUAAAUUUGU